GCCCCUCCCUGGCGUGGGGAGAGCGACGGCUCCGCUCGUCGGCCCGCGGGCGCAGCCGGCAGGAGGCGCCGCCCGGCUCCCCCAGAGGCCGCGCAAGAAAGCGAAGCGGCCUCGGCCCGGGCCAGGGUCCCGAGACGCAGCGGGUGAGCAGCGGCGGAUCCCCCGUGAGCGGCGCGUCUCCCUCCGGCCCUUCUCCCCGGACCGAAGCGGGGCUGCUCUCCAGCCGCGCUAGUUCAGUCACGAAGUGUCACUAGCUCACGACAAGGCAAGGCUUUGGGCCCACGCUCCCAAACUCCAUAUAACAGAGGGAGAGGACAGCCAGCACCCGGAGCCAGCUGCCCUCCCAGCUCGCCGCAGCCAGAGGCACCCCAGGGACCGACGCGUGCGGGAGCAGCGCUCGGGCAGAAGCACCAGCGCGCACAGCAGUCACUAGGCUCCCAAGAGGGCUCUCAGCCCGGCCACCCCGCAGCAGGCGGAACGCUGCGCUCAGCUGCAGCGCGCGACGCUCGUCUCCCAGUCCCGCCAGCCCUGCGCGAGAAGAAUCAAGCCCCGCCCCCACGCCACAGGACGAAUAGACACGCCCCGCGCUUGAUCUCCAGCACUUGCCUGGCCCGCUGGUCCGUCCAUGGCGCACAUCACCAUCAACCAGUAUUUGCAGCAGGUUCUAGAAGCCAUUGAUUCCAGAGAUGGAUUGUUUUGUGCAGAAUUGGUGUCAUUUAAGCAUCCUCAUGUUGCAAACCCCAGGCUUCAGCUUCCAUCUCCAGAAGACAAAUGUCAACAAGUUCUGGAGCCACCAUAUGAUGAAAUGUUUGCUGCUCACUUAAGAUGUACUUACGCUGUUGGAAACCAUGACUUUAUUGAAGCUUACAAAUGCCAGACCGUUAUAGUACAAUCAUUCCUGCGAGCAUUUCAAGCACAUAAAGAAGAAAACUGGGCUUUGCCUAUUAUGUAUGCUGUAGCACUUGACCUUCGAAUUUUUGCUAAUAAUGCCGAUCAACAGCUGGUGAAGAAAGGGAAAAGCAAAGUUGGUGAUAUGUUGGAAAAAGCAGCAGAAUUGCUGAUGAGCUGUUUUCGUGUCUGUGCCAGUGACACUCGAGCUGGCAUUGAUGACUCCAAAAAGUGGGGCAUGUUGUUUCUGGUGAAUCAGCUGUUUAAAAUCUAUUUUAAGAUUAACAAACUUCAUCUGUGUAAACCAUUAAUUAGAGCUAUUGACAGCUCAAAUUUGAAAGAUGACUACAGCAUGGCACAGAGAGUUACAUACAAAUACUACGUUGGACGCAAGGCCAUGUUUGACAGUGAUUUUAAGCAAGCUGAAGAGUAUCUGUCAUUCGCCUUUGAGCAUUGUCACCGUUCAAGUCAGAAAAACAAAAGGAUGAUUUUGAUUUACCUUUUGCCAGUAAAAAUGUUAUUGGGCCAUAUGCCAACAAUUCAGCUUUUGAAAAAAUAUGAGCUUAUGCAGUUUGCUGAAGUAACUAAGGCUGUGAGUGAAGGAAAUCUUCUGCUAUUGAAUGAUGCUCUGACAAAACACGAGACCUUCUUCAUUCGUUGUGGUAUCUUCCUGAUCCUUGAGAAGCUGAAAAUCAUCACCUACAGGAACCUGUUUAAGAAAGUAUAUUUGCUACUUAAAACCCAUCAGCUAUCUCUAGAUGCCUUUCUGGUUGCCCUGAAAUUUAUGCAGGUGGAAGAUGUUGAUAUUGAUGAAGUCCAGUGUAUUUUGGCUAAUCUUAUAUACAUGGAAGAUCACCACAAAGCCAAAUUAAAACAACAACAAAGCAAAUGCCAUACCUGUCUGUUCUGUCUGAAGGAAAAGGAGGACAAAAAUAAGAAAGCAUAUUGUCCAAAGACUUGUAUUUCAAAGCUCUAUUCAUUUACAUCGCUUCCUCACCAGUCUCUAAACCCUGGUCUACACUAGGAGUUGAGGUCGAAUUUAGCAGCAUUAAAUCGAUUUAACCCUGCACCCGUCCACACAACGAAGCCCCUUUUUUUUUUUACUUAAAGGGCUCUUAAAAUUGAUUUAUUUACUCCACCCCAGACAACAGGAUUAGCACUGAAAUUGGCCUUGCCUGGUUGAAUUUGGGGUACUGUGGACGCAAUUCGAUGGUAUUGGCCUCCAGAAGCUAUCCCAGAGUGCUCCAUUGUGACCGCUUUGGACAGCACUCUCAACUCAGAUGCACUGGCCAGGUAGACAGGAAAAGGCCCGCGAACUUUUGAAUUUCAUUUCCUGUUUGGCCAGCGUGGCAAGCUGCAGGAGAGUGCAGAGCUCAUCAGCAGAGGUGACCAUGAUGGAGUCCCAGAAUCGCAAAAGAGCUCCAGCAUGGACCAAACAGGAGGUACGGGAUCUGAUCGCUGUAUGGGGAAAGGAAUCCGUGCUAUCAGAACUCCGUUCCAGUUUUUGAAAUGCCAAAACAUUUGUCAAAAUCUCCCAGGGCAUGAAGGACAGAAGCCAUAACAGGGACCCGAAGCAGUGCCACGUGAAACUUAAGAAGCUGAGGCAAGCCUACCAGAGAGGCAAACGGCUGCUCCAAGUCAGAGCCCCAAACAUGCCACUUCUAUGAUGAGCUGCAUGCCAUCUUAGGGGGUUCAGCCACCACUACCCCAACCGUGUGCUUUGACUCCAUCAAUGGAGGAGGCGGCAACACAGAAGCAGGUUUUGAGGACCAGGAAGAUGAGGAGGAGGAGGUUGUAGAUAGCUCACAGCAAGCAAGCGGAGAAACCGAUUUUCCCAACAGCCAGGAAUGGUUUCUCACCCUGGACCUGGAGAGCCAGUACCCCCCAAACCCACCCAAGGCUGCCUCCCGGACCCUCCAGGUGGAGAAGGGACCUCUGCUGCAUGUGUUUCAAGGAUCACAGGAUCUUCUCCUUCCCAGAGGCUAGCGAAGAUUAGAAGGCGAAAAAAACCACACUUGUGAUGAAAUGUUCUCUGACCUCAUGCUGUCUUCCCACACUGACAGAGCACAGACAAAUGCAUGGAGGCAGACAAUGUCAGAGUGCAGGAAAGCACUAAAUGAAUGCAAGGAGAAGUGGCGGGCUGAAGAUGAUAGUUGGUGGCAGCGUGAUGAGAGGAGGCAGGAUUCAAUGCUGAGGCUGCUGGAGGAUCAAACUAAUAUGCUCCAGUGUAUGGUUGAGCUGCAGGAAAGGCAGCUGG
This is a non-coding RNA of Caretta caretta (loggerhead turtle), 3145 nucleotides long. The record is from RefSeq and is a predicted model, not a curated record. NCBI's taxonomy places the organism in Eukaryota, Metazoa, Chordata, Testudines, Cheloniidae.